Molecule: ribosomal RNA, 305 nt
Filed under: uncultured bacterium
Lineage: Bacteria
Description: bacterial SSU rRNA
Rfam family: Bacterial small subunit ribosomal RNA
Source: RNAcentral
AAAGCCUACGGGACGCAGCAGUGGGGAAUAUUGCACAAUGGGGGAAACCCUGAUGCAGCAACGCCGCGUGAGUGAUGACGGCCUUCGGGUUGUAAAGCUCUGUCUUCAGGGACGAUAAUGACGGUACCUGAGGAGGAAGCCACGGCUCACUACGUGCCAGCAGCCGCGGUAAUACGUAGGUGGCGCGCGUUGUCCGGAUUUACUGUGCGUAAAGGGAGCGUAGGCGGGUUUUUAUGUGAGGUGUGAAAUACUCUGGCUCAACUUGAGUGCUUCAUUUCUAACUGGAAUUCUAGAGUGCAGGAGAG